This 253-nucleotide ribosomal RNA is filed under the name uncultured bacterium. Its description in RNAcentral is "partial 16S ribosomal RNA". It matches the Rfam family "Bacterial small subunit ribosomal RNA", at positions 524 to 776 of the family's 1533-position model. The record is from RNAcentral.
UACGUAGGGUGCGAGCGUUAAUCGGAAUUACUGGGCGUAAAGCGUGCGCAGGCGGUUUUGUAAGCCAGAUGUGAAAGCCCCGGGCUUAACCUGGGAAUGGCAUUUGGGACUGCAAGGCUGGAGUGUGGCAGAGGAGACUGGAAUUCCUGGUGUAGCAGUGAAAUGCGUAGAUAUCAGGAGGAAUACCGAUGGCGAAGGCAGGUCUCUGAGCUGACACUGACGCUCAUGCACGAAAGCGUGGGGAGCAAACAGG